CGCCCGCUUUACUAAUCAUGAUUAAUAUAUAUACACACAUGUACAAACACAAAACAAUACAGGAGUGAAUAUACACAUCAAUUUAUCGCCCGCGUUACUAAUCAUGAUUAAUAUAUAUACACACAUGUACAAACACAAAACAAUACAGGAGUGAAUAUACACAUCAAUUUAUCGCCCGCGUUACUAAUCAUGAUUAAUAUACACACAUGUACAAAGACAAAAUAAUACAGGAGUGAAUAUACACAUCAAUGUAUGGCCCGCUUUACUGAACAUGAUUAUAAUCAUUUUAAAGUUCUUAAGAAGUAUGAAUAUAAAUAUCACAUAAGCUUUACA
This 333-nucleotide long non-coding RNA is filed under the name Mytilus galloprovincialis (Mediterranean mussel). Lineage: Eukaryota; Metazoa; Mollusca; Bivalvia; Mytilida; Mytilidae. The record is from RNAcentral.